UGCUGUCAUGUCAAGCAUCUUUCUAGAUCUUCAGGGUCUCAGGAAUGUGCAGCAGCUUCCAGCUUCCUGGUCAUUAACUGCAUUUGCUCCUACCAGAUUUCUCCUUUGCCAAGAACCCUCUCCAGGCCAGGUCCUAAAGCAGGAAGAGGACUCAUGCACUUUCACAGCCAUAGCAGGAAGAAAACUAUACAUAGAUAAAUACACACCACACACAUGAAGGUGAGUGCCAGUGGGAGGGGUCUUGGUAGAAUAAGUCACAUUUGAGUCACAUCUAAGUCACUCUGAAGCCUGAGUAGGAGCCUGCCACAUUGCCCAAGGCAGGGCAGGAAAUUCAAGCAGGCAGAAGUAAGGGAUGAACAAAGACAAGGCUAGCAGUUACAGAUCAGGAAGGUAAACCAGCAGAGUUUCCGGAAAGGGAGAAAGGAAGUCACAUUUGAGUGCUAGAGAGAUUUUUCUGGUGGUAGGGGAGGAGAAUGUGUGAGGAAAGCAGUUAAUGAUUUCUUGUCCAGGUGAGAAGUUUAGGCCUUCUGCUCCAUUAUGGUGGAGUCAAGACUUUGCUUUCUUCACUUCUGGGCCAUGUCCAAAGCUGCACCUUCUACUUCCUGUGUCCUCUCCCCUCCUCUUGGCAUGGUCAGUUCUCCUUCUUUCUUUGAGUUUUAAAAUUAAUGUGUGAGCCGGGCAUGUAGGCGCACCAUAGUAAUUCCAGCUACUUGGAGGCUGAGGCAGGAGAAUUGCAAGUUUGAGGCCAACCUGGGCAAUUUAGAUGGUGUCUCAAAAGCUAAAAAGGAUUGGGUAUGUAGCUUAGUGGCAAUAUCGCUGGUUACCAGUGAUGAGUUCUGCUUCCUCACAUUUUGAAAUAUAACAUUAAAGAAGCAUGCAGAGGCAAGCAUAUAAAGCAGAAUUUAUUGUAAAAAGGGGUAACAGACUUUUCCCAGCAGGGAGAAGGGGGCCAUAGCUGAUACCUUAGUAUCCAAGAAGCCAGGGUGUUUUGCCUUUUUAUAUGUCCUAGGCUUCCUUUGUUCUCUUGCUCUUUUCCCUUUAUCUCUCUCCUUCCUGCAUAGGUGACUAGACCCAGGAGAUGCUCAGUGGGAUGGCCAAAAAGUGAAAAGCUGAUGGAUGGGGGAAGGGCCAGAUGGAGCAGCUCAGGACACAUUAAUUAACAACUUUAUAACUCCCUGUAGGGAGAGACAAUUCCUGGGACAGGUUACCUUAGUAACAAGUUGGAGCAGGGGCUGAUAAGGGUGAUAAAGGUGGAGGAAGGGCUCUGGAGGCAUUUUAGUCCCUCAGGGGGCAGUCUCCGACUUCCAGGACUCACUCAAAUUAUCUAUACUGAGUGCCUGUCUAAUUCUGACUUCAGUGGUCGAGUUCUUCUGAGUUCAAUUCCUAGUACCACACACAUGCACACAAAAUAAUAAAAUAAAAAGCUACGUGGGGGUGCUGGAGUUGUGGCUCAAUGGUAGAGUACUUGCCCCACAUGCGUGAGGCCCUGGGUUGGAUCCUCAGCACCACAUAAAAAUAAAUAAAUAGAUAGAUAGAUAAAGAUGUUGUGUCCAUCUACAACGAAAAAAAUAUUUUAAAAAACUAUCUGGGGAGGUAGCUCAGUCUUGCCUGGCUUGUGGGAUGUCUAAGGUUCAAUCCCUAGUGCCACAAAAUAAGUUAGGUGUGACCUCACUUAGAAAAACUCACUGACCUCUCAGAUGGCCCCUGUCAUUCUCAAGCUGAGUAAGGAACCGGUAUUCUGGGCUCCAGAAUGCUUUGUGCCUUUUCCUGUCUCUGAAUCAAUUCCAUGGCUCUAGGAUUGUGUUUUGGUUUCUUUACCAUUAUAAUAUGAUUUUUCACUGGGCAGGGGCCAGAUCUCACUAAUCUUUUUGUUGUUGUUAUUGUUGUUUGUUUUGUACUGAGAAUUGAAUCCCAACUCCCUAUCCCUUUUUAUUUUUUUAUUUUGAAAGAGGAGCUAAGUUGUUUAGGGCCUCUCUAAGUUGUUGAGACUGACUUUGAACUUGCAGUCCUUCUGCCUCAGCCUCCUAAGUCACUGAGAUUACAGGCCAUGUGCCCGUGCCCAGUUCUUUGUGUCUUCAACACCUAGCAGAGAAAGUCUGACACCAAGAAGAUAAGUAGCAAAUAACUGUGACUGGAUGAGUAAAGAAUAGAUGAAAAUUUGAGAGAGAUUUUGGGGGUUGAAUUAGAAUUGCUUGGCAAGAGAUUGGGCAGGACUGGUGACAGGGUGGUGUCUAAAAUGAUCCCAGGUUUUCUGGUUUGGGUGCAGGGGAUAUUUACACUGUUUUUACUCAUAAUUCUUCUAAUGCUGAGUGUAUAGGAUUUGCAGACUAAUUGCCCAGUUCUCAGACACCAACUGAGUAUCCAACAGUUCAGUUUAAUUCUGAUACUUUCUACCUAGAGUUAGAGUCAGAUCCCACCAGUUAAAAAGGUCUGUCCCACAAGACAGCCUUCAUUUCAGACACAGGUGACCAGUCUCAUGUUGACAUCUAUAUUUCUGACCAGCCAGCUAUAUAAAUCCCUGGGUUCCCUUGACCAUCCUUCUUCACAUUCAAAAAUGUGCUGGAAUGGCUUACAAGACUCAGGGAAACAUUUUAGUCAUACUUAUGAGUUUAAAUGUAUAAGGAUAUAACGCAGGAAUAGCCAGGUGGAAGAGAUGCAUAAGGCAAGGUAUUAGGCAUUCAGGGCUUCUCUGUCAUUUCAAGGCACAGCACCUUCAUAGCACUUCAGUGUGUUCAUCAACCAAAUAGCUCUUUUGAACCUUAUCAUAUAGUUCCCCCAGACCCUCUACUGGGGUGCUCUACCACUGUACUACAUCCCCAGCCCUUUUUAUUUUUUAUUUUGAGACAGGGUCUCACCAAGUUUUGAAGGCUGCCCUCAAACUUGAAAUCCUCCUGUGUUAGCCUCCUGAAUUCCUGGGAUUAUAGGCAGGUACCUCUGCACCCCUGAUAUUAUAUAUGGGUUUUAAUGGAGGUUUCAUUAUGUAGACAUGAUUGAUCAAAGUACUGGCUAUUGAUGAUUAAUUCAACCUUUAGCCCUUUUCCCCUUUUGGAAGCUGGGAGAUAGGGCAGAAAGUUCCAAGUCUUUGUCAAGGCUGGCUCUUGCUUGUGGCUAGCCCCAACCUGAAACUAUGAAGAACCCCCAACCACCAGUCAUCUCAUUUGCAUGCAAAAGACACUUUCCUCAUUCCUGAGAUUCCCAGGGUUUUAGGAGCUUACAUUUAUCACUGGAGGUGGUAGUGCCAUUAAACUAGGUGACAGAUAAGAAGAACAGAUAUGAGAAAAAAGACUAUUUCCUUCAGCUACCUUGUAGUGAAACAAAACAAUAAUCACUGUUUCUGGUUCACUGGGAUGGCAUCCUCAUCUCCACUCUUGGACUGAGCUGACAACCCCCAAAUACCUACAGGACUUGGCUUUUACUAACCAAUUCCCAAUUCUCUUCCAUGUGUUUACAGUCUUGUGGUUUUCAGUGUUCUGCAGAAUGCCUCCUUCUGAACUUCCACUAAUUAGUGUCUUUGGUUUGUCCACUUAUCUAGGGAUCUUUCAAUUACUAAAAAGAGGUCUCUCACCUCUACCCAUAUCUCAGGCAGCUUUGUGAACAUUUUCUCAUGUGAUCCAUUUUCUAUAUUCAGAAGAACUACAGAAUAUAGGUCAAGGCUCUUUCAUGCAUAUAACUGAAAGCCUGGAAUGCACAGGUAUAACCCAAAAGGGAGUUUAUUGGCUCACCAAACUGAAAAUUCCAGAGAAUAGACUUAACUUAAGGCAUGCUUCCAUUUAGGGAUAUAAAUGCUGUCAGGCCCUGAUUUUCACUCCUGAUGACUCAGGGUCACUUCUUAUCUCUCAACUUUAUUCUCAGGAGGUUCUUCCCAUGCAGUGCAAGGGGGGUCAGGGGGCUGCAGUUACCAUAGACUGUUCCUUUUAUGCUUAAAUCAAGCCAAAAAGAGUAAGCCUUUUAUCUAUCUGUGCCUGCAACAAUAGUCCAGAGAGUUGCUCUGAUGUGGUUGGUAGGAUUGUUUGUUGGCCUCUGAAUGAUCUCUAGAUCAGGGACUGCUGCAGGCCUGGGUGGGGCUGGGGCAUGGAUAAACCACAGAUAUUCACUAACUUGCUGAAAUCCUCCCCUCCCAGGAGGUGGAGCUCAGAUAUUGCCAACAAAAUUGACAGGACUACAAGUAUGUGCCACCAUGCUGGGCUCCUAUAUCUUUGCUACUUGAAGUCAUCAAAGUUUCAGUGAGUCUGGUACAUUGCAACAUUAUUGGGGGGGGGGGGGUUAACCCUGGAGUGCUCUAGCACUGAACUACAUCCCCAACCUUUCUUAUCUUAUUUUGAGAUGGUCUUACUAAAUUGCCUAGGCUGGCCUCAAACUUUUGGUCCUCCUGUCUCAGCCUCCCCAAAUGCUGGGAUUACAGGCCUGCACCACCUUGCCUGGCUCUCUUUUAGAUACUUCUAUAUUGCCUGAAAAUAUGGUACCACUGAGUCAUGACUCUAAGUCAUGAUUCUAAGACAGAAGUGAUAUCCUUGCUUUUUCUGUGUGGAACCAAAGGACUAAUCACGUCCUGCUGGCUGAGUCAAGACUAUCUACAUGCCUUCAAGGCACAGGCCCUUUUUGUUUCCCUCCACCCCACCCACCCCAACCCAGUACUGGGGAUUGAACCCUCUAGUGUUCUACUUCUGUUCUACUUCUCCCGCCCUUUUUAUAAAUUUUAUUUUGAGAUGGGAUCUUGCUGGCCUUGAACUCGGCACCCUCCUGUCUCAAUCUCCUGAGAAGCUGGAAUUAUAUGCAUGUGCCACUGCUCCCAGCUCUUUUAGCUAUUUAAUAACUAAUCUCUGGGGAAAUGCAGGUGAGGGGGAAAAAAAUCCCAAAUAUGGAAAGGUUGUAGAGUCAAUAAAUCUCUUAAUUAUAGCUUUAAUCCUUAAAUAGUUUACAAUUAUUUUUCUUAAUAAAACCUAGAAGCCUAAUUUAUUAAUUUGUUAUCUCAUCUAACACGCAUAAAGGCCCAGUGUUAGUUCUCUAGAAGCUCACAGACUCACUGAAAAUUUGAUGACUUCAAGUAGCAAAGAUAUAGAAGCCCAGCAUGGUGGCACAUACUUGUAAUCCUGUUGAUUCAGGAGGCUGAGGCAGGAGGAUUGCAAGUUCAAGCCCAGUCUCAAAAGUUUGAGACCCUGUCUCAAAAUAAAAAGGACUGGGGAUAUUGCUCAGUGGUAAAGCACCCCUGGGUUCAAUCCCUGGUACCAAACAAACAAAAAACAAAGAUGUAGAGGUAAAGCUUUGGCAGGAAAGAAUCCCCCUUUGCACUAGAAGCUUGCUCAAGCUAUGUACUCAGCACUGCUCUAUUCCCUAGAAGCCUCUGAAAAGCAGUUUCCCAGCCAGCACACCAGGGUUGAAAUACUCUUUCUUCACACCAGGAGCACACUACUACAUUGCAAAUGGGAGGGUUUGAUGUUCAUGGUAGCAUAAACUUUAUGAAGGGCAAUUUGGCAAUAACUAAUAAAAGUGUGCCACUCUUUUGUCUUUUAGAACUGUUUCCUUGCACAUGUAGGAAAUAACGUUUUUUUAGGUGGUAUUAGAGAUUUAGCUCUGAGCUGUACCUUCAGUUCCUUUUUAUAAAACUCUGAGACAGGGUCUCCCUAAAUUUCCCAGGCGGAACUACAACUUGUGGUCCUUUUGGCACGUCACUGGGAUUACAGGUGUGUGCCUCUGCCUAGCUGAGCAUCUUUGGCAUGAAAUUUUGUUGUUAUUGAGAGAUGCUUAACCUAUCAUAAACGCUCAUUCCCUUGCUAUUCCCCCUAUGAAAAGCUUUGAUCUUUCACAGACUAGAUUUUGGUCCAGGAUAGGUCCUGUGUCUCAGAACGUGACAGUUACUUGGUUGGUUCUCUCUGCUGAUAGCUGAAACACUCCAGUGUCUCCACCUGUGUUGCUCACCACUGUAGCUAUUUGAGGUUAAAUUUGUUCCUUGCUCAGGGCUGUACCAGUUCUCAGCUCUUCUUCCUGCUCCAGUAGGGAAAGUCCCUUUACAUGCUUAAAACUGAAACCAAAGUAUAACAGCCAGUUGGCCACCACAAAGGCGGGUCCCCACAACCAUCAUGUCUCCACCCACUCUAGGUUCCUAUCGGUACCUCUUAAAUCUUUAAAUCCUCAUAGUUGGCCUUCUUCCUAAGAAAUUCCAGGCCCUGGCGGCUCCAGGAAUCCAGCUCCUGGCAGUUUCUAAAUCUAGAUAAAUUUUUCCUCCAGAGAGGGAUUUUUGUCCCCUGCCCCCCCCCCAUGCUUUUCUUUUAUGAUUCACAUUUUAAAUUUAGCCAAGAAUUGCAGAAGGAUUUUAAAAGGUGAAAGAAAGCCAGUAGGUGAUCUUAUCUUUCUCCAAAGAGGAGGAUUGAGGAGGCAUCUUCCUGACUUCUCUGGAAACCCUUAAGUUAAGGAUGCAAGUGUUCUUAAGGACCACAGAAGUAAAACAAAUGACUGUAGCCACUUGGAGUGAGAUAAUGGCAGUGGAAGUGUGGGUAUGAUGGAGGUGAGGUUGUAAGGACUGAGGGAUGGUCCACAUAUACCAAGACCCUCUGCCCCAACCUAUAUUGGAACCUGGGAUUUUUUUGUGUGGUGAGAAGAGGCACAUGAAAUUUUGUUGUGAAAUUCCACACAUCUUUAUUUAUUUUUGGUUCUGUGGGUUAAACCUAGGGUCUCCCACAUGCUACCAUCGAACUACUGCCCCCAGUUAUCUUUUUUAUUUUUCUCAGACUACAUUUUUUAUUAUAUACCUCCAAUUAUCUUUAAAAUGUUGUUUUGAGUUUUUUGUUGGUACCAGGGAUUGAACCUAGAGCCACUUAACCCCUGAGCUACAUCUCUAGCCCUUUUUUGUAUUUUAUUUAGAGUCAGGGUCUCACUUAGGGCCUCACUAAGUUGCUGAGGCUGGCUUUGAACUUGCAGUCCUCCUGUCUUAGCCUCCUGAGUAACUGAGAUUGCAGGUGUGCACCACCACACUUGGCAGUCUUUAAUAAAGCAUUGUGAGUUCAGGAAUAGGUCUGCACUUCUGCUAGUUUUCUCCUACCUGCCCCUCAGUCUGCAACCUUCAGUCUGCUGGACUGCCCGUGUAACCAAAGGCUAUUUGAUCUCUAUGGCUGGAUUUAAAUGGUUUUAAUAUUUGAAUAUUUUAUUAAAUUUAUGAAAUAUUUUGCUUGAAUUUAUAGAACUGCAUUUGUUUUGCUUAUACUUAACUCAUUUCAAAAAAAAUGGUAAUAAUUUUAAAAAUUGUGGUAAAAGAUGCCUAAUAUAAAAUUUACCAUUUCAACCACUUCUAAGAGUAUAGUUCAGAAGCACUAAAUAGAUUCACAUUCUUAUGCAACCAUAUCACUAUCCAUCUCCAGAAUUCUUUCAUUUCCUCCAAUUGAAACUCUAUACCCAUUAAACAAUAAUUCCACAUUCUACCUCUAGCUAUAUCCCCACCACAUCCAACUAGGGUGCUGCUGUAUGACUAGCUCCUAGCAACUACCACUGUACUUUGUAUUCUAUGAAUGUGCCUAGUCUACUUACCUCAAGUAAGUGGAAUUCUAUAAUAUGUGUUUUUUUAAAAAAAAACAGGAAAAAAUAACACAAAAUUUAUUACAUACCUAAGGCAUGGAGUAUUUGAUUCCAAUAUUUCCUUUUUUUUUUUUUUCUUUUUGUACUGUGAAUUGAACUCAGGGUCACUUUACCACUGAGCUGCAUCCUUGGCCCUUUCUAGUUUUUAUUUUGAUACAGGACCUCACAAAGUUGCUGAGGCUGGCUCAAACUUGCCAUCUUCCUGCCUCAGCCUUCUAAGUAGCUGGGAUUACGCAAGUACACCAUCACACCUGGCAUUUUUCACUGUAUUUUUAAAUUUUUAAAAUUUUUUAAGUGUAUAUGGACACAAUACUUCUUUUUCUAUUUAUUUAUUUUUAGGCAAGCACUCUCCCUCUGAGCUCUACCACCCCAGCCCUUCACUUUUUUUUUUUUUUUUGGUGCUGGGAAUCCAACUCAGGGCCUUAUGUAUGCAAGGCAAGCACUCUACCAACUAAGCUAUAGCCUCCAGCCCUUUCACUGUAUUUUUUUUUUUAAAGAGAAAGAGAAUUUUUUAAUUUGGUGGACACAACAUCUUUAUUUUAUUUUUAUAUGGUGUUGAGGAUCGAACCCAGUGCCCCACGCAUGCCAGGCGAGCACGCUACCGCUUGAGCCACAUCCCUAGCCUUGUAUUUUUAAUAUUAUAUAUUGACAAGACCAUUGUUCAAACUAAGUCAAAAGGUAGUAGAGAAGUAAUGUGCUGUAGUUCCAACUAACCAACCAAUGGGUCAGCCUCCCUCCCACCCCCUUCCAUGGUCCAGGCAUCUUCCCCAGUAGCAGCCCUCCUGCCUCCAGAAGUUAGAGCCUGGUUUCUGCCUCUAUCCACAGGAUAACACUGUCAGCAGAGCCAGCAGCCUUGGGUACAAAGCAGUGAGGACCUCCAGAGAGUCUCUGGGGAGCCAUAUCUUACCUUCUUUAUAACUUGCUUCUUAGUAACCCUGGCCAGCUUUGAAAUGGCUGGAAGCACAGCCCCUGCUAUGGAGAUCAGACAAAUAAGCUUCCUCCCACAGAUGAGAAGAUGUUCUGUCACACUAAAGUACCUAGGUGGGCUCACAGCUAUCAGAAUUGUUGUUAGAAAAAGGAGUCCACAGUUUAGUGAACCUAAAACUCAACCUCUGAUUUUGGGUUGAUGCUUCCAAACUCUAGACUUGACUCAAAACUCAAAAAUUUAAGCCAGAGGCUGGCAAAUGAUGGCCUGUACCAGGUCAAAUGUGGCCUGCUACCUGUUUUUGUUUAUAGUAUUGUGAUUGAACCCAGGGAUACUCUCCCAGAGUUGUUGUACCCCCAGCACUUUUUAUUUUUUUUUUAUUUUGAAACAGAGUGUUACUAAACUGCCAAGACUGGUCUCAAACUUGCAAUUCUUCUCUCAGUUUCCCCAGUUGUUAGGAUUAUAGACUCCCAGCUGUACCUCUUUUUGUAGGACUUGUGAAGUUAGAAUGGUUUUUACAUUUAAAGUGAUUGAAAAAAAUUAAAGGAAGAAUUAUACUGGAGGACUUGUAAUAUUUAUAUGUAAAUCAAUAGUGUUCAUAGGGAGCUGGAGAUAUAGCUUAGUUGAUAGAGUGCUUGCCUCGCAUGCACAAGGCCCUGGGUUCAAUCCCCAGCACCACAAAAAAAAAAAAAAAAAAAAAAAGUGUAAUGUUUAUAAAUAAAGGUUUAUUAGAAAACAGCCAGGCUUGUCCAAUUGUGUAUUAUUAGUCUGUGGCUGUUUGUCACAGUCUAUAAAUCCUAGCCUCCAUUCCCAUACUUCCUUCCACACAGACCAACUUUAGAGAAAUGUGGAAGCCAGCACAUUUCCUUUGGCUCUACUUCCGAACACCCUGUGUUAACUACUACCACUACCACCACUCGCCACCAUCCUUUUCACUACCAUCACUACUGCCACAAUCACUACCACAACCAUCACCACCAAGAUCACCUUGAAACUCCACUUAUCUGUAGAAGACUUAGUUGAAGAAAGGAGGCAACUAAUAACUAAAGAUAAUUAACAUUGGUCAUGUCUCAGAAUAACUAAGAGAGUCACCAGUAUAUCUUAUGGAUCUAAGGGAGGCCAGAGAUCUCUGCCAGGAACAUCCCCUCUAUUCAAGGUUGCUGGUGUGUCCUCAGCUCCACAAACUAGAAACUCUUUGUGGACUCCGAUACUGUGGUGUAAAUAUACUCCAACAGUUAUAGAAUGUUGUUUUUUAGCAUAUAACCCAAUGGGAUGAUCUCUUAAGUCUCUUUCAGAAUGUAAGUACUCAGUUCAAUUCUUAUGUCAGGACCUUCUUCUUCUGGGUUCACUUUUUUCUUUUUUCUUCUUUUUGGUGCUGUGUAUUAAACCCGGAGCUUUAGGCCUGCUAAGCAAGAACUCUACCACUGAAAUAUACCUCCAGCUCAAGUCAUCUUUAUAAGAAACUCCAAGAUAAAACAUUUAUUUCUGAUUUUAAUACCAAGAAGAGUUGUCCUAGUCCAUUUUCUGCUGCUAUGACAGAAUACCACAGACUGGGUGACAACCAACGCUACAAGUUCAUUUGUCUUAUGAUUCUGGAGGUUAGGAAGUCCAACAGCACUGUGUGGAAAUUUGUGCUUUGUCAUAAUCUGGCAAAAGGGCCAGCAAGCAUGUAUAAGCCAGGGAGAGGGUAAGAAGGAGAUAUACUAACCCACGCCCACAAUAAUGACAUUAAUCCAUUCAUGAAAGCAGAGGCUUCUUGAUCCAAUCUCUCAUAGAUUUUUUUUGACCUCAAUAUUAUGAUGGCAAUUAAAUUUCAAUAUAAGUUUUGGAGGGAACAUUCUAAGAUUUAAGAAUCUGUCUUCAUCUCACAGAUAGGUGAAUCAUGCAUGUAGCAAAGCAGAUAUUCCUUUUAACAGAGGCUGUUAAGCUGUUUGGAACCAGAUAAUAUGGCCCAGCUCUGGUAAACGUUGAGUUCUUUAGGCUCUGAAGUUUUGAGCCCCAUUCUGGCUUGACACUACUUUAUUUUGCCUCAGUCUUAAUUUCUGUCUUUGUUGUGGUUUGGAUAUGAGGUAUCCCCCAAAACCUCCUGUGUUAAUGCAGGAAUGUAUGGAAGUGAAUUUGAAUUGUGAGAAUUGUAACCUAAUUGUACUCAUUUGAAUGGACUGAGUGGUAACUGUAGGCUGUUGGGGCAUAGCUGGAGAAGGUGGGUCACUAGAAACACUCCCUGAGAGGGCUGUUCUUUCCUGAGACCCCUUCUCCCCACUCUCUCUGCUUUGGAACUGCUGUGAGCUAAGCAUCUCCCGCACCCCUACUGUGCUCUUCAACCAUGAUGUGCUGCUUCUAUGGACUGAGACCUCUGAAACUAUAAGCCCCAAAUAAACUUUUCUUCCUCUAAGUUGUUCUUGUCUGGUAUUUUGGUCACAGUGAUGCAAAAGGUGAUUAACAACAGUCUUGUUAUGACCUAUAAACUGGGGCUGGGGGUGUAGCUCAAUGGUGAAAAGCUUGCUGAGUGUGCUUAAGGC
RNAcentral lists this long non-coding RNA (11013 nucleotides) under Marmota monax (woodchuck). The stretch from base 9100 to 9169 matches the Rfam family "tRNA". The record is from RNAcentral. Lineage: Eukaryota; Metazoa; Chordata; Mammalia; Rodentia; Sciuridae.